RNAcentral lists this long non-coding RNA (350 nucleotides) under Sus scrofa (pig). RNAcentral describes it as "lncRNA (ENSSSCG00050022427.1)". Lineage: Eukaryota; Metazoa; Chordata; Mammalia; Artiodactyla; Suidae. The record is from RNAcentral.
CUGAAGAUAAAUCAGGUGAGGCCCCAUCCAGCCCGCUCCUCCACAGGCAGCUCCUAUUAGAGCAUCUUUAUUUCCCCACCUGAAGCCCUCUCGCCCUUCCAAGAGACAGGAGUCAGAUGAGAUUGAUGGAAAUGCUUCAAAGAUUUCACCAGAAAGCAUAAUGGCUUGGUUUUAAAUACAUCUUAUAAAAAACAAAAACAGACAACAACAACAACAACAAACUGAGGUCUGGAUGAUGGGAUGAGCCAGCCACACCAAAAGGCAGGGGAAGAGCAUUUCAUUUAGCAGUAAGUCAAGAAAGAAAAGGGCGACCAGUGUGAAGCCUUGGUGACUGUGGGGCAGGGUGGAUG